UUAUAAAAAUUUUAUUUAUUUUCUAUUGUUAAAAAAUGACAUGGUUAACAAAUAACCAAAUAGUGACAUUUGGCAUGUUACGUGUAUUUCAUACUGACAUAUAAAUACCAAUUUUUAACAGUAAAAAUAAAUAAAAUUUUUAAUA
Molecule: non-coding RNA, 145 nt
Organism: Gossypium hirsutum (cotton)
Lineage: Eukaryota; Viridiplantae; Streptophyta; Magnoliopsida; Malvales; Malvaceae
Source: Rfam